This is a long non-coding RNA of Bos taurus (domestic cattle), 1797 nucleotides long. The record is from Ensembl. Lineage: Eukaryota; Metazoa; Chordata; Mammalia; Artiodactyla; Bovidae.
UCCUGGUGCAGAAUUCCUACAGUUUACACACUGUAGCUGAAAACUGGGCUAAGUUAUCUUCUCUCAAAAAGGGUAUCCAAGAUUUUGGAACGGAAUGGAUUAUUAGAAAUCCACCGAUAAAUAACAUUCAUCACACAACUUGCUGUGUGCCCUUGUCAAGUUUCUCUACUUUUCUGAACCUCCACUUCUUGGUCUGCCACAGGGGAAGCCAGUCUUGAUCUAUGGUUUCCUCAACCUCUGCUUCAGAGUCCACAGGGGAGGGCAAGGCAGGGUCCUAUGAAGAACUCUGGCCUCCUGCUCCCCUCACCCACCAACCCAAAGCAGCCUUCUAUUACUGAUCCUAUGUAUUAGUUCUGCGGAGUUUUCCUCUUUUUUUUUCUUUCUCUUUUUUUAAUUUUAAUUUUUUAAGCCUAUUAUUAUUUUUUUCUACAUUUAUUCCUUUGUUUGCCUUUCCUACUGUUCUUUUCUCCUUGCAGUUUAUCUUUAACAUAUAUAAAUCUCCUUUGUCUACCUCUAUUUAACUCUGCAUAUCUAUUCUUUCUUUCCUUUCUCUCCUUUCCUCUCAACAUAUUUGUUAGCUUAGCUUUAUUUUCAUUGCUUUAUUCCCCAGUUGGCACCUUGAUUUAGUUUUGCUUUCCAGUUUGCGCUUUAAUUAGUUUUAUUCUGGUAGAUAUAAUUUUUCUAGUUUCCUUUGUUCGCCAGGUCAAUCUAUUGUACGUAAUUUUUGUUGGACUGUUUUGAUUUUGCUUAGGAGUGUAUAUGUAUAUGUGUAUAUUCAGUAAUACUUUCUACUGUUGUUAUAAACCUCUGCCUCUACAUUGGGCUUUGCAGUUCUGUGGAGUUUUCCUUUUUUCCCCACUUUUUUCUUUCUUCUUCUGUUUUUUUCUCUUUUUGUAUUUUUAAUUUUUUAAACCUAUCGUACUUUUUCUAUACUUAUUCUUUUGUUUGCCUUUCCUACUGUUCUUUUCCCCUUGCAGUUAAUCUUUAAUGUAUAUAAAUCUUCUUCAUCUACCUCUAUUUAACUUUCCAUAUCUAUUCUUUCUUUUCUUUUCUUUCCUUUCCUCUCAACAUAUUUGUUAGUUAUGUUUUCAUUGCUCUUCUCCCCACUUGGCACCUCGCCUUAUUUUUCCAGUUUGUGCUUAAGUUAGUUUUGUACUUAACUGGUAAAUACAACUUUUUAUUUCCUUUGUUUGCUGGAUCAAUCUACUGUACUUUAUUUUUGUUGGAGUGUUUUCACUUUGCUCAUGGGUGUAUAUGUAUAUGUGUAUAUUCCAUUAUUUUAAUUAUUAUUUGCCUGAUUUGGUAACUGCCAUUGGCCUGGGGGUUCAUCUUUGGUUUCUCGUUUUUAGAUAUUUGUUUUACUCUCCCUCAAUGCCAUAACAAACCACUUGUGGAAUCUUCAUUCCUGACCAGAGAUCAACCCCUGAGCCUUUGGAGUGGGAGCACUGACUCCGAGACCCUAGACUGCCAGAGAACUAACCCUAGGGGGUAUCAAAUAGUGAGAACUCACACAAAGGAAACCACUUGAAUACAAGACCUGGCAUCACCCAACCACCAGUAGCACCCUGUGCAGGAUGCCUCAUCUAAACAACAAACAAAACAAAAAUAUAAACUCAAUCAUCAGCAGACAGAAUUACCACCUCACUCAGCUUUGCCCAUCGGAGGGAAAACAAACAAACAAACAAACAAAGGCUCAGCAUAAUCUCACCCUAUACUAAGCCCACACAAACCACUAGACCAACCUUAGGAGGGCAGAAACCAAAAGGAAGAAAGAAUUCAACCUUCAAGGAAAGAAUU